Molecule: ribosomal RNA, 445 nt
Filed under: uncultured bacterium
Lineage: Bacteria
Description: partial 16S ribosomal RNA
Rfam family: Bacterial small subunit ribosomal RNA
Source: RNAcentral
GUGAGGAAUAUUGCGCAAUGGAGGCAACUCUGACGCAGCCAUGCCGCGUGCAGGAAGAAGGCGCUACGCGUUGUAAACUGCUUUUAACCGGGAAGAAACCCCAGGACGUGUCCUGGGUUGACGGUACCGGAGGAAUAAGCACCGGCUAACUUCGUGCCAGCAGCCGCUGUAAUACGAAGGGUGCAAGCGUUAUCCGGAUUCAUUGGGUUUAAAGGGUGCGUAGGCGGAGCGUUAAGUCAGUGGUGAAAUCCUGCAGCUUAACUGUAGACUUGCCAUUGAUACUGGCGCUCUUGAGUGCGCUUGAAGUGGGCGGAAUGUGCCGUGUAGCGGUGAAAUGCUUAGAUAUGGCACAGAACACCAAUUGCGAAGGCAGCUCACUAAGGCGAUACUGACGCUGAGGCACGAAAGCGUGGGGAUCGAACAGGAUUAGAAACCCGGGUAGUCC